UAACAAGGAUUCCCCUAGUAACUGCGAGUGAAGCGGGAUGAGCUCAAAUUUAAAAUCUGGCGGUCUCUGGCCGUCCGAGUUGUAGUCUGGAGAAGCGUUUUCCGCGUCGGACCGUGUACAAGUCUCCUGGAAUGGAGCGUCAUAGAGGGUGAGAAUCCCGUCCAUGGCACGGACUGCCGAUGCUCUGUGAUACGCUCUCGAAGAGUCGAGUUGUUUGGGAAUGCAGCUCAAAAUGGGUGGUAAAUUCCAUCUAAAGCUAAAUAUUGGCGAGAGACCGAUAGCGAACAAGUACCGUGAGGGAAAGAUGAAAAGCACUUUGAAAAGAGAGUUAAACAGUACGUGAAAUUGUUGAAAGGGAAACGCUUGAAGUCAGUCGCGUCUCGUAGAACUCAGCCUGGUUUCGGCCUGGUGUACUUUCUAUGUGGACGGGUCAACAUCAAUUUUGACCGGUGGAGAAAGGUGAGGGGAAUGUAGCGUUGCUUCGGUGACGUGUUAUAGCCUUUUGCUGUAUACACUGGUUGGGAUUGAGGACUGCAGCGCGCCUUUAAUGGCCGGGGGUUCGCCCUACGUACCGCGCUUAGGAUGUUGGCAUAAUGGCUUUAAGCGACCCGUCUUGAAACACGGACCAAGGAGUCUAACAUGUUUGCGAGUGUUCGGGUGGAAAACCCUUGCGCGUAAUGAAAGUGAAAGUUGGGAUCCUCCGCAAGGGGGUGCACCGACGCCCGGCCCUGAAGUUCUCUGACGGUGCUGCGGUAGAGCAAGUAUGUUGGGACCCGAAAGAUGGUGAACUAUGCCUGAAUAGGGCGAAGCCAGAGGAAACUCUGGUGGAGGCUCGUAGCGAUUCUGACGUGCAAAUCGAUCGUCAAAUUUGGG
Molecule: ribosomal RNA, 873 nt
Filed under: Xanthoporia radiata
Lineage: Eukaryota; Fungi; Basidiomycota; Agaricomycetes; Hymenochaetales; Hymenochaetaceae
Description: Mensularia radiata partial large subunit ribosomal RNA
Rfam family: Eukaryotic large subunit ribosomal RNA
Source: RNAcentral